RNAcentral lists this ribosomal RNA (247 nucleotides) under uncultured Clostridium sp. RNAcentral describes it as "partial 16S ribosomal RNA". It matches the Rfam family "Bacterial small subunit ribosomal RNA", at positions 796 to 1041 of the family's 1533-position model. The record is from RNAcentral. Lineage: Bacteria; Bacillati; Bacillota; Clostridia; Eubacteriales; Clostridiaceae.
CACGCCGUAAACGAUGGAUACUAGGUGUAGGAGGUAUCGACCCCUUCUGUGCCGGAGUUAACACAAUAAGUAUCCCACCUGGGGAGUACGGCCGCAAGGUUGAAACUCAAAGGAAUUGACGGGGGCCCGCACAAGCAGUGGAGCAUGUGGUUUAAUUCGAAGCAACGCGAAGAACCUUACCAGGGCUUGACAUCCCUCUGACCGCUCUAGAGAUAGAGCUUCUCUUCGGAGCAGAGGUGACAGGUGG